AUCUUCGGCAUGGACGAAGUCUGACCGAGCACGCCGCGUGAGUGAAGAAGGUUUUCGGAUCGUAAAACUCUGUUGUUAGAGAAGAACAUCUGGGAGAGUAACUGUUCCCAGCUUGACGGUAUCUAACCAGAAAGCCACGGCUAACUACGUGCCAGCAGCCGCGGUAAUA
RNAcentral lists this ribosomal RNA (169 nucleotides) under uncultured Vagococcus sp. Its description in RNAcentral is "partial 16S ribosomal RNA". It matches the Rfam family "Bacterial small subunit ribosomal RNA", at positions 361 to 525 of the family's 1533-position model. Lineage: Bacteria; Bacillati; Bacillota; Bacilli; Lactobacillales; Enterococcaceae. The record is from RNAcentral.